CGGCGGGAGCUCGAUUAUAUAUAUUGUUGUUGCAUUUCUUUUAACUUUGUUCAUAUGAAUCCAUUUUAUUUGGUGCACUAUUUUCGAACUUUUGAGACUAUUUUUUUUAUAAAUUAUGGAUUUUAUUUUUUGUUUUAAUAUUUUUAGAUUAUAUUAAUUCUAUCUGUAUAAUGUUGAAUUUUCAAAAUCAAAUCGCGUUUUCCGAAAUUAUAUUUAAUUAAGGGCUUCCGCUGCAAGUCUAAGGGGUUUUAUAAGUAUUUUCCCAAGUAAACUGAAAUUUUAAUC
Molecule: long non-coding RNA, 285 nt
Filed under: Gossypium raimondii (Peruvian cotton)
Lineage: Eukaryota; Viridiplantae; Streptophyta; Magnoliopsida; Malvales; Malvaceae
Description: long non-coding RNA (GRAI_LNC000819)
Source: RNAcentral